This is a long non-coding RNA of Topomyia yanbarensis, 16196 nucleotides long. RefSeq lists it as uncharacterized. NCBI's taxonomy places the organism in Eukaryota, Metazoa, Arthropoda, Insecta, Diptera, Culicidae. The transcript has 2 exons. The record is from RefSeq and is a predicted model, not a curated record.
ACGGUGCACAGUGGAGGUUGGAUUCCAUGCCAAAAGAAAGGAAUCGCUAGCAAGAUGUGAAAUGAAAAUUGAUUAGUGAAGUGCAUUUAACAAAUGCGAUUUCUAUUGAAUAAUCGUGGCAGUGAGUGCGAUUAUAAAUUGAACCGAUUGGAAGCUUGCAGUUAGCCCACUUCAAUAACUGUGAAAAAGUGUCGGUUACAAUGAGCUGAAAUGUGGCCGAAAAGAUCCCCAAAAGCCGCAUUGAGCUGAAGAAAAUUCUAUCCUUCAAAAUGGCUCCCGUCGCCAUCGCUGUCUGCAGUGCAGACGUAGAUGCAGUUGAGCAACGUGAAGUUAAUUUAAUUAUUACCAACAAAAACCAUUUGAAAUAGAACAGGGUUGCUUGGAUUCUGGUUUUCGCUUUCGACGAAAAUCGAAACAUUCCUUCACUAUGUUGGUUGCAGUUUCGAUUGCCGAUUGCCCGUUGAAGUAGCCUACUUGGAUUCGGUAGGUAAAAAUGAAACCGGUCAAGUAAUGAAGUAGCGUGAUGUUUCCAAUUGAGCCAAUCCGGAAUUUUGAACUAGUUUUGGUUGGUGACAAACAAAUCCCACACCAUCAUUCGAGUGUUGAAGGGAAUUUACCAACCGCUUUGUUGGCUGAAAGGAAGGCGAUUGAUCGAGAGAAUGACAACAUUUUCAUAACCUAUCAGUUACAGAGCAAACUGCGAUUCUUGGGUGUAAACGACUAUCGCUGCAUUCGAACGCAAAUGGUGCUUACCAGCUAUAGAAAGUAAGUACCGUGGAUGACAAAGAUGGUGAAUUUGUCCUCGUUGCGCUGAUGGAAACAGGCAGUCUCAUCACACAUCACAAACUCUACUCCGUCACCAACAAGGUAUCGUGCUUCAGGGGCAUUUUUAAAUCGAUUGAGGUUAUACUAUAUUUUAAGGAUAGGAUACUUUUAUAAUUCAAUAUUUUCGGUUCAAUAUUCGUGUCAGAACUUAUUUCUGUUGUUUAGUUGUGAAACAGUUUAAACGUGGCACACAAUUCUAAAAUCUACCAUUAAUCGAGAAAAAAAACUAAUGUACAAUAUUAUUUUUGUGUUGUAUCUAAGCAUAGAAUUCAGAUAUUCUAAAUCAAAUCAAGCUUUUAAAAAUAACCAAGACAGUCGUCGUAUUUUGGGUCUCUUGAAAAAUCGUGACCGUCAAAUGUUUCCUUAUUGGAUAGUACAACAAGUUUCUGUAAUGGUGACCUUCUCCGAUUCUUGUAGAAUACUGGUUUAUUAUCUGUUUCAUGUCUACUGGAUAAUGUCUAUCUUAAAGAAACCUUAAAGACCUUAGAUCGCUUGGCACGAUUAGCCAUAGAAUAGGUCCGUUGUAAUCGGUGAAUUAAUCAACUUAAUACAUUCAUAGCUGUGUUGUACUGAAUGUCUGCAGUUUUUUGCAUCUUUUGUCGACAAUAAGUAAUCUAUCUAUACCUUUUUGCAAAAUUUGUUGUUAAAAUGGCUAUGCAGUAAACUUAUCGGUAUUGUUAGUCAGCCGCAAAAAAGAAGGGUUUGUCUCUCGCGAGAUAGAAAACUGAAGAUGCCAGCCAUAUAUGUUAUUAUUCUAUCGUUCGUUUUCAUUACUUUGAGACAUUGUCACGGUCGCCAUAUAAGUUAACAUAAAUGGGCAGUGCAUCGAUGGGUUCUGUUAGAUUGAGGUUAUUCCGAAAACAAUUUAGUUUGAAAAAUAGUCUCUGUAACUUUUCGGAAAUUGAAGCUACUAUUUUUCUAUAGGUGCUAACGAACGGCUGUCACUAUGUUCUGCUUAGUAUCAACCUGAUUCCCAGAGUCCCUCAGCGAAAUUCUCACGAGACAUGAUAUUGAAACCUAGAGGAAACUCACAUUUCGGAGGAUGCUAGCGGCCUCUCGUCCACUACCCAGACACUCGCGCACUACGCUUGUGUUCGUGUAAAGGUUUUAUUACACUUAGUUAAAGGUUAUGGUUUCUCUUAGGGUGAACUUCAAAAACACAAUUUCUUCAAAGCUAGCUCGUUUCAGAAGAUUUCCGGCAACAGUGAUCGCGGAAACUCUUUAACCAACCAUUGCAUUUUUUCAAUAUUUUCUAUUUCCUAUUCGUGUUUAUCCUGGUCACGGCAUCAUUUGUUGCACUUGCAUGAGUUUCGUCGGUAUUUAUAGGAGAUCACUUACGGCACCUGCUUUGCUUAGGUGCUUUCAAACAGUUAAAAUUCUUGACCGACAUAUAAUAAUAUGAGUAGCGAUGCGAGGGGAUUUUUAAAAAAGAAGACUAAGGAAAAACGAAGACCGAUCGAGCCGGGAAUAAAAUUAUAUCCAAGUGUCUAGAUCCUACGCACGGUCCAACUUUAGCCUACGGCUGCUGAAGAUAAUUCAAUGGAGACUUGCCUUGCUGUAAACAAUCCAAAUCUGUAUUUUCUCAAUCGUUUCUAUUUCCUAUUCAAACGAGAUCUGUCACUAAAAUUUAACGCGCAACACCAGCCUACUGUGAUUUGUUUCAAAUCCUAUCUCAUUAGGGCCCUAAUAAAAAUUUCCUGUGACUUAGCCACUGAUACUUUGUCUAUAUUUAUUUCUAUUUACAAUUCGUAUACGAAUGGGCAAUGAAUUUGCUGCUCUCUUCAAAACUAGGUCGUUUUAGAAUAUUUGCGUGGAACAACGAACAAUAUAACGAACGGUGGUCAAUUUGCUGCUCGACUAAUGAUUAAAAUUACUCCUGGCAGGAUCACCAUGAAAAGAUAUUCUUCUCACUUACUUUUUAACUCGGACACUUGUGAUAUUUCAUAAGUAUACCACCCGGCGGUUCGCUUGAGGGUGAAUUUUAUUUUCAUUAAACCUAAGCUAUGGGCUAGGUCGCUUCAGUGGCUACGCGACACUUUUUGAUAUGGUCAGCAUAAUCGUUGUCGCGCAGUAGACUCGAUUAUGCUGACGCCUUGGUUAGUCGCUUCGCGACGGGAUGUUCGUGUGGAAUGCUUAUGUUUCCAAUAAACGUAGGUUGGUAUCCACCACAAGACAACUGAUCACCAGCAAUUUCGGAUAUGCUUUAGAAAUUCGUAUUUGUUCAAACUAACCAAUCGCUGUACUUUCGAAAAAAUUAUAUAGUUUAUCCUAGUUUGCGUGGAACUGCAUUCGAACCGUGAUAUUAUCACUACGGAAUAUUAUUUUUGACGAUACUCAUAAAGCGUAGGCCGCCGGUGGCCACUGGUUUUAUAAGACGGGAGCAGGGUGGAUUUUCCUUACAGACGUAAGCUAUUGCGUUUUCUUUCGCACAAAUAUCGCACAGGUUUUCGAAUACUUGAUAUGUCUUUACUUAUCCGACUGACCUAACGCGGCCGGGCGAGGGCUAUCACAAACAACUGACUUCUUACGACUCGCGCACGCCUGCUAUCCGUGCGGUCACUAACUGACUUUUGACGACUCACUUCAACGACUGACUUCUUCGCCAGCGCGCCUGUUGCGCGUGCGAACCCUAAUUAAUUUUUCACGACUGACUCAAAAGACUUAUCAUUUCGUCUGUGUAGACUUCUCUCUGAGGGAGUCUCAGACCUAAACAAAACAUUCUUUCCUCGCUCGCGAGAGUAAAGACCCCGGUGGAUGAAUCAGUAGUUCACUAUGACUCAUACUCGGAAGCCUUUACUUUCUAUAAUAGCGUCGCCGUCUGCUGCUGGCAGCAACAAACUGUGUUUAAUUAAACAAAGUGUUUAUUCUUUUCCGUAAGCGUAUGGCUUGGAAAGCGCGAGUGCAUCAAAAUAUCAGCUUAGCUUAAGGCUGUAGCUGGUGAUGUAACCCAGGAAAUUAGCUUCCAUGGUGCACCACUUGGAGAAAUUUUCCAGGGUUGAUGCUGGCCGAAAACUAUGGGCGCUGCAUGCCCCCUUACUUACUGAGCUUGAUGUUGCCUCGGAGAGACGCAUCAUCAAGACGAUUGCGCGGGUCAUUAGAAAAAUUUGUGUCAAAAAGUCUUUUGUGUCCUAACUCCUAAGAUUGCCAUUACAUAAAUAAUAUUUGUUAUUACUUUUGUCAAAACCAAAUAUUUACAAUUUUCUAUCAUUAUUUGACAUUUUCUUAACAUCCUAACUUUACGAUGGUCCUAGUGUGCACAUCUUCCUGCUUCCAAACGUUACAUCCGCUCUCGGCUCCUCGACUCGGUUGCGUAAUGGUUCUCGGAAUUCAGAUUUCGGGCCCCUCGUGCGGCAGGAUAUUUCCAAUUGGUUGAGAAGUGACAUCCUUCUUUGUCCGCAGAUUGUUGUCUUCUUGGGCCAUGGUUGCUUGCUCAUACAUAUUGUUUCGAUUCUGUCUUCUCCGUUCACGUUGUUAAUUUUUUGUUAUCGAUUCCUCGCUCCUCGAUUCUGGUUAGAAUUUAUUUGUUGUACCACCCCUCGAUCGAUUACAUUGAUAUCGACGUCCUUUACGUAUUUGUCUACAUUGGUUUCUCCCUCAACGUUUGGCUUAUCCGGGAGAUUUGUCUGCUUGCUUGCUACCUUCAGGCCAUAUUGAUUGUGGGCUACUGAGGCGCUAUUUUCAAUCACACAGACCGGGUUUGACUGUUCCGACUGUGGCUUUAAUCUUUGGUUUAGGCUGAUCCAGUUUUAGCCUUCAUGUUUCUCGAAAAGUCAUCAUAUGACCAAAGGUCGCACGAGUGCCAAAAAAGUUAACCUUCCACUGUAAUUUCUUUUUAAGUUCUAUUUCUAUUAUUUUUGAGAUACAAACAACCCCUUACUGCAAUUGCUCAAUAUUUUCUAUUUCUCAUUCAUAUGCGAAAUGUCACUGAAACAUCACCACCAGCCUGCUGUGAUUUUUUUUUCAAAUUCUAUUUAUUUUUUUUCCACGAAAGUAAACAGGACAAAGUUUUUGACACGUGAUAUUAUCACUACGGAAUAUUAUUUUUACGAUUAUUUUCACCGACAACAGGCUAAACGCUUAUCCGGUUCGAAGGGCCAGUGUUGGCGCAUGAGUUAGACUCUUAGGAUUGAGGUAAACUGUUCGGUUCGCGGUGCAGUAAAACUCACGCUCACUUAGUCUAAAUGUCGUUUAGUUGUGUGGUUGGCUUGCACAGCUCUCUUUCUAUAGUCCUCUAUAUGAUUUCUCUUCCUCAGCAAUAAAAUUCAUGUAAAAAUUUUGACAAUUGUCCAAUUCUAAACAUUUGAUACUUUUGUUUAUUUGAGAUACGAAAAUGGCUUAGUCCUGCGCGAAGCGCUCCACAGUCUUGUCAGUUCAUCUGAAAUAAAAAGAUUGAAAGAUUAAUAAAUCUAAAACAACCUACGAUAGCUAAACGAUAACUUCUUGAUUAACAAACUACUCCCGUUUUUUUGUGAAAAAAUGUUCAUGUAAAAAGUUUGAAACUUAUCGACAAACUGUCGAGUAGCACACGUAGAACAGGUGCUCCCUAAAUAAAGAUUAUCCGCGUAGUCGGGAAAAUUACUGCCACCUUCGGCAAAUUUCCACCUACCCUCUAUUCGGGUAAUGUUAGAGAAUAUGGACUGGACUGACCGAAAUCAAAUCGGGAACGAUUAAUAGUGUGCGCGCUUAUCUGACUUCUGCUGACAUCAUUCUGUCGUCUUCGUCAUCAGCUGGCUAAAUCGAACGACCUGUUGGCGUGUUUCUAACGUUAUUUGAACACGACCAUCCGGUAGCUCCCUCAUUUGGUGGUUCUCGGCCGAUCAGUCUUUUUCGUGACCUUCUUCUCGAAGCGAUUUUUCUGCCACGCAGUCCGAAUAUGAGUCUAAUUUGUUUUCGUCUAGCAUCAUCUUCAAGUAUUAUUGAUUUUUUGUUGGGAUCUCUACAGUACACUUCAUUCACUGCCAAUCUGUGAGCUAGUCAAUCAGAUGCAACCGAUGGUAAUUAUAUUUGACAGCGAGCACACCUUUAUUUAAGUUACUUUUUUCCACAGAGACUCUUCUUGAAUUGCACUUUUCUUCGGCUCAUUUCCUAUACUACACGAUUCUUCGUAGCAAGAGUAGUGAGGAAAAUGUGUUCCAAGUGUUCGUCGAUUCUUGUGUACGGCAUUGACAAAAUUUACCAUCCCCUACCAUUUCUCAAUAUUUUCUAUUUCCUAUUCGUAUGCUUUUUCUGUCAAAGCAACACGACGCCAGCCUACUGCCGUUUACUGCAAUUCGGAAACAAGCUUUCGACGCGUGAUAUUAUCACUACGGAAUAUUAUUUUUGUGACUAUUUUCUUCGAUGUCUGAGCAAACGUUUAUCCGGUUCGAAGGGCCAAUGUUGGCGGAUGAGUCUAACUUUGAGGUUUUUUUUUGAUGGUGCAAACGUUUUUGGGUCGUCUGACCUUUCGCAGUCGCGUGGCCAGUCUUUCUAGAUACGAGAAAGGUUUGGUUCUACGCGAAACGCUUUAGUCUUGUUGGUUUAUCUGAAAUAAGAAAGAAAAGUGAAUAAAACAAUAACUUCGUAGAGCUGAAUCUGAAAACAGUUUUAGAUAACAAAAUGGUGUAGCGUCUUGAUAAAUAAUCUAAUUCUUUUUCGUCUGUCUGUAAAAACAUGUUCAUGUAAAAAGUUUUGAAACUUAUCGAAAAAAUGUCGAGUAGCACACGUAGAACAGGUGCAGCAUCAAUAAAUAUCGGUCCGUCAGCAGGGAAAAUUACUGCCAUCUUCAGCAAAUUUCCACCUACUAUCUAUUGCGGUAAUGUUAGCGAAUACGGACUGUACUAACCCAAAUCGGAUCGGGAAUGGAUAUUAUCUCAAAUCAAUCUCAAUACAUUUUUUUCUCGGGUUAUUAAUUAUCUAUAUUUUUGUAAUUAAUUAUCUACCUUGAUUUAUUUUAGGCUUGCGCCUCGAUCCUCCUCGUUGCGCGUUCUGCCAUCCUCUCCGUGUGCACGUUGUUUAAUUUGUAAAUCACCUUGCCUAGGAUGAACACUGCUGCUGAAGCUGCUAGAAUAAUCAUCGCCCAUGUUUGGGUUUCGCUUCCCUCGAAGAUUAUAUUUGAUGACGCCGUGUCGUCGGCUGAGAACCAACCCAUUUUGUUCUCACAGGUGUUUAGUUUUGUAUUUUAACGCAGAAAACUUUACGCACUUGUGGUUCCAUUUGUUAGAAAGUUCAUUUUUGUACCUUUUGCUACUUUGCAAAUUGUUCUUAAUGUCACUUGCAGUCCCUUUUUUUUCUUGCCACUUUGGAAAUUAGUUACAAUGCUAGGCGGCUGGCACUGUUCGCCAUGUCGCACUUAAACUUUUUACUUAAGUUUUUCUAAGUCUCUUUGCUUGGGAUUUAGUCACAAUACGGGACGAUUCGCCAUGUCGCUUUUAAACUUUUCACUUGAAAAUAAAAUUUUUCUCUCUAAGUCCCUUAGCUGGGACUUAGUCACAACGCGAAUCGACUGGCACUGUUCGCCAUGUCGCGCUUUGAUUCAUAGGCGAUAAGCCCGUUUACUUUUCAUGAAGAUGAUCAUCAUUAGUAGUGACAGGUACCUUAUGUUCAAUUUAUAUUGCAACUUUUUGGGUUUGGGACGUGGAUUAGUCCGUGAAGGAUGCGUCCGAGGAUACCGCGACGUACUUGGUCGUCGCGGUUAUUCCUUGCGCCCGCAUUUUAUCCUUCGUUUCUGUCGUCUUUUUCCCGUGGUUUUUUACCCUUUUGUAGAUACCAUCUCUCUCGUAUUUAUUGUGGGUUCUGGGCCUGGCUCGUCCUGGAAGAUAGAUAAAACGUUUUUCGUGGUGGUUAGCUCUUCGUCUUUUUCCUGAUAAACAUCUAGUACAGCCACGUCUACAGAGGGUGUGCUUCGACUACGCCUCUCUUUAGCCAUCGACUGUAAUUGCUUUUCUUGUCUUCGAUGAUAACUAUGCCGUCCGCCUUUAGUGGUUUCGCCUCCAGAUUCCAUUUCGGUCGCUCGGCUAUCAAGGGUAAGUAUUCUUUUCUAAAUCUCCUCUAGAAAUACUGAAUUCCGUGGCUUGUGUCGUAUCCUGGAGCAGCAAUAAUCCUGAUCACCCGAUCAGGGCAUGGAGUGAUGUCGACGAGACCUUGUAGUUUUCUUCUGCCACUCAAAUCAUACUAAUUUUCUCAAUAUUUUCUAUUUCCUAUUCGUAUGCGAACUGCCAGUGAACAACGGCUUCAGCCUGCUGCGAUUUCUUUCAAAUUCUAUUUCAAUUCAUUCGACAAACGAUAGCCAAAACAGAGAAUGCCUUCGACACGUGAUAUUAUCACUACGGAAUAUUAUUUUUGUGAAUGUUUACAUCUGCUUCGCUCGCACACCUAUCCGGUUCGAAGGACCAAAUGUUGGCGCUUGACAUGAAAGAGAUGUUUUUCGAUUCAUUCGAUUUGGCAAUAUUUCAGAAUUUCCAAGUUGUUGAGUUAUUAGUUAUACUCACAUUGCUAAACUUGUCCGCUACUUUCUCGUUGGAGGAUGGAAGCGGUUGUUAAAAUUCGCUGACUAUCUAGAUGUCGUCGAUGUAUCUCCAGAUCGUCAGUCAUUUCUACUUUAGGUUGAUCGACCAACAUUUUUUUCUUCUGUUUAUUGACAGAGACCUGAAGCCAUCUGGAUACCAAAGCUAUUGCCGUUAUUUUGCAUUCCUUGUUCUUUUAUUGAAUUAAGUAUUGUAUUACUGCUGUAAGGUACAGAUACAAUCCCGGAUGGUUCUCUUGAUCCAGAUCAAGCACUGUUCAGCCACUGAAAUUUCUCUAUAUAUUUCUAUUUACAAUUCGUAUACGAAAGCGCGACGAAUUUGCUGCUCUCUUCAAAACUAGGUCGUUUUAGAAUAUUUGCGGGGAGUUAAUUCCAAGGUAACCAAACGCUGCAGUUUCGAAGAAAUUCUAUAGUUUAUCCUAGUUUGAGUUGAACUGCGUUCGAACCGUGAUAUUAUCACUACGGAAUAUUAUUUUUAACGAUACUCUACAUGUUUCUCGAAAAGUCGUCAUCAUAUGACCAAAGGUCGCAUGUGUACAGACGCGGCCGACGGUGGCCACUGCCUUAAUACGACUGACUACUUGCGGCUCACUUACUUGCCUUAAUACGACUUUUUACGACUAUAAAACCCUUUUAUUAGGCCAUUCAAAAAUUACAUCACACAUUUAAGAGUAAAACGAGAAAUUAGGAAGCAUGUUGUUACAUGUGUACAGACGCGGCCGACGGUGGCCACUGCCUUAAUACAACUGAGUUCCGCGACCGGCUUCCACGACGGACUACAAUGACUGACUACUUGCGGCUCACUUACUUCCCUUAAUACGACUGAGUUCCGCGACCGACUUCCACGACGGACUACAAUGACUGACCUCUUGCGGCUCACUUACUUGCCUUAAUACGACUGAGUUCCGCGACCGACUUCCACGACGGACUACAAUGACUGACCUCUUGCGGCUCACUUACUUGCCUUAAUACGACUUUUUACGACUGACUACUUGCGGCUCACUUACUUGCCUUAAUACGACUUUUUACGACUGACUACUUGCGGCUCACUUACUUGCCUUAAUACGACUUUUUACGACUGACUACUUGCGGCUCACUUACUUGCCUUAAUACGACUGAGUUCCGCGACCGACUUCCACGACGGACUACAAUGACUGACUACUUCUAAUCUGACGCAAAAGACUUUUAUCAUUUCGUCUGUGUAGACUUCUCUCUGAGAGAGUCUCAGACCUAAACAAAACAUUCUUUCCACGCUCGCGAGAGUAAAGACCCCGGUGGAUGAAUCAGUAGUUCACUAUGACUCAUACUCGGAAGCCUUUACUUUCUAUAAUAGCGUCGCCGUCUGCUGCUGGCAGCAACAAACUGUGUUUAAUUAAACAAAGUGUUUAUUCUUUUCCGUAAGCGUAUGGCUUGGAAAGCGCGAGUGCAUCAAAAUAUCAGCUUAGCUUAAGGCUGUAGCUGGUGAUGUAACCCAGGAAAUUAGCUUCCAUGGUGCACCACUUGGAGAAAUUUUCCAGGGUUGAUGCUGGCCGAAAACUAUGGGCGCUGCACAUGAGUGCCAAAAAAAAAUUUAACCUUCCACUGUAAUUUCUUUUUAAGUUCUAUUUCUAUUAUUUUUGAAAAACACACAACCGUUCACUACAAUUUUGUAAUACUCUUUUUCCUAUGUGAAAAAUUUGAAUUUUUUCGCCUGAAUCAGUUUGGCUGACUUUUUAUAGUGUUAGAGGUGUACAUUUUUCUUAUCUCUAGGGCCAGCUAAUACAACUACAUAUAAAAACGAAGGGUGUUGUAACAGAAAAAAUCAACUCCAACCACAACCAAACCAUGAUGACUCUGGAUGUUUUCACUUGAUCUGGAUCAAACUACUCACCGACCUGCUUCAACUCAGAUUUACGAAUUCAAGUUUUUACACUGUUUUCCAAGCACUUCUAAACAGAUACCGACCGGCUGCACCAGUUAUUUUAAACCACCAGGUCUAUUACAAAAAGUAUAUUGAAUCAUUAACUGUAGAAACUACAAAUGAAAUCACCAAUUAACACACUAUCUAAAACUGACUGAUCGAUUCGCGAUCGAUUCCUAUUUAACAACCUGACUGACAUGGCACAACUGGUCGACGUGGUGUGAAUCGAUUUUUAGUGAUGGUCGAAUCUAAAAAAUUCUCAAUGAUUUCUACUUCCUAUUAGUACGGGAACUGUCACGAUCACUAUUUUACCGCUGAAAACUGUUUGUUGUCGUUGGUGAACGUUUCAUCACUGAUUCAGUCUACUGGAAUCUGAACUUUCUCAAUGAUUUCUAUUUCCUAUUUGCAUGGUAACUGUCAUAAAUACUACCGCCUGCCAGCCUGCUACGAUCUGACUCAAAUUCUCUACGAAGUGAAAUUUUUGACACGUGAUAUUAUCACUACGGAAUAUUAUUUUUGCCCCGGGAAAAGAAUCCAGCAUAUAAACAGAUAUAAAACCAGGUGAAAUAUUUUUAUUUUUAUAAAAGAGUGUCACGCCCUCGGCUCCAAUUCUAAUAACUCGGCCGUUUCUUCGCCGAAUUGCGUCUUUCGCCGAACCGUGAUACACUAUGGUAAUAAUUUUAGUUUGACUUCUUAAAAAAAAACCCUUUGUAGACUUGCCUCCGUUUUCGGAAACUGCGUUACGGUCCGACACGAAGUGAUUUAUCUGUAUUACUUAAUGUUCACCUAUGUUCAAUUUUGUGUUUUGUCUAUCGCACACCUUUUCAUUUCAUUUGGUUCGCGACACUGUCACGGUCGCCAUGUAGGAUGUACACUAGAUUUGAAGAUGUUUUAUUAAGAGUUUUAUUACUUCAGCGUAUGCGACACCAACAAUUACACACAUGCUACCAGCCUAGUGCGAUUUCUUUCAAAUUCUAUUUCAAUUUAAUAUUUUAUUCUUCUGACUUAGAUUCCCUACUCGACAUAUUUGCUGAGUCUUCAAUUAACCCUAUCUGAUUCGUGUGGCCGCAGCAAGACGGUAGCGAUAUGCUUUGGCAGCAAUUAUGUGCACUUCAACGUCGAUGGCGAUGAUCGUUUAGUUAAGGGAUUUAUUCUGCUCGGCGGGUGUUUUGUUAUGGCUGAAAGAUUGGUUGUAACUUAUAUAUACAAGUAAUGAGACAUACCAUCUAAUCUUAAUUGUUAAAAAAUUGAAAAACGUCUUUUCACAACUGAAGUCUAACUUCAACUGAAUGCUUUAUUCCAAGUCAAUUAUGAUUGAACCUAAAGCCCCUAAUCCCUAUCGCUCUGCUAUGUAGGCUAUUUUGCAAGGCAACAACUGCUAAGGCUCGCUGAGUCCGUGUGUCGUUGCUUUGCUUGCUACCGAAUGGUCGUUUUGCUGAUGUAGGAACUAUGUACGAUUCUGGGCCACUGCCGAAAACUUAUGGGAUGCGCUAAUUAUGUUUCAUGAUAAAAUAGGGAAUGGUUUGCAAAAUCGUUGCUUUCCAGUUGUUGAGAAUCGCGUUGUCAAUCUGGUGCCAAGUUUCUGGUUGAGGAAUUAGUUUGUUUUUGAUCGUAAUUUGUUGCAUGGAUAAGUCGUCGUGAGUGUCUGCCUUCUGAAACACUGCUGAGUAACCUGACUCUGAUUUAAUUAUGGAUCUUUUCCGGGUUAGGUAACGCCACCAGUUCGUUAAUACUUCUUUUACAGAUUCAAAAUCUCGAGUCUCCAGCUAGAUAUAUGAUGGUUCUUCUGAUUUCCAAUGACGCGCAGCGGGCCCGAUCAAUCCCUUCCCAUCUGACUUAAUAAACUCAAAACGAAGGGACUAUCAUUACUCAGACAACCCUCGUAAUGUAUCAAAGCCAGAUCGCUACGUGUCAGUGCUAUAACAGGACUGGUUUUUUUUAUUUAACAGCAACCAUAACUAGCACACCGUUUCAACGCACACCGAGGAAAUCAAAGGAACAAUGUUUUUAAAAUUCAAUUGAAUUCUAAUUGAAUUAAAAGUCUAUCUGAAUAGGCAAAUGAUCAAAGAAUUCAAUGAGAUUUGGCCCAUUUUGUGCACAAAAAAGUAUAGCCCGAAUUUAAGACUUCCCCGUUGGUAUCCAAAUGGGGAAAACUGAUCGAAAUGGUAAUGAUGAGGGAAGCGAAUGCAAUUAUGUGAAAAAAAUUCCCCCCGAAGCGAGAUUCGAACCCGCAUCCCUCGAGACUCACCAUUUCUCACUUCAGCAAGUUCGACGAUGGCCAAUUCAUAAUGUAGUUUUAGACGUUAUGUAUUUUGCCAUCUCUUCAAAGCUAGGUCGUUUUAGAUUUUCCAUAAAAAAAAUUGAGGAAACUGAUUAACCAAUCACUGCGCUUUCUCAAUAUUUUCUAUUUCCUAUUCGUAUUAUCCUGGUCACGGCAUCAUUUGUUGCACUUGCGUGCGUUCGUCGGUCUUUACUGGAUAUCACUAACGGUACCUACUCUGGCUAGGUGUUUUCAAACAACCUAAAUUCUGGACCAACAUAACUUUUAACUGCUUACGAGGUUUUCCAAGGAAUCGGGCACCUCAAUUAGUGCAGUUCGUGAAGCAACUCUCGGUACACCAGAUCGGAUCUUUAUGAUUUCUGGGACAUUUUUCGGAUCCAUCAUAAGCUGCUGCUUACGAUCUGAUGAGCUAUUUUGGAUAUAGAAACAUUCCCUUCAAUUUGACGCAAGAUAGAUAAAAGUCAUACUAAUCACAGUAGGCCACCCUUAACGUUUUUACGUCGUCAAAAGUUUGACUAUUUCCAUUCUAGUUGCCAUCUUCAAAACGAGUUUACCGGCUACGACUGUUUUUCGUUCUGUACUGGUACUUGCUGGAGCUCGCUUUUUUGGACUCCCGAAUUCCGCAAAACGUUCGACACGUGAUAUUACCGCUACCGAUUUGAUGAGGUUAAUGCACAGCGCUGUAAAAUUGUCUCAACUUAGACGACCGACGACAACGGAAAAUAAAGUCAAUCUUUUCAGUCAACAUAGCAUAUGCGACUCAGAACUAAAUGAACAUAGCAGCUUACGUAUUAUUUACACUAUUUACAAAUUGUUACAUUUGCUGCUUUAGGUUGGGGCAAAAAUUUCUGACUCAAAUAUCUGGACGUGGGUUAAAAUUAGGCCUACCGUCAUUUCUGCUUUUCACGAAUCUAGUCGAGGUGACUGCACUUAUGGUCAAGGUUUUUAGGCGUUUCCUAGCCUUUCACUUUUGCGGCUUUAAGUUUCCGCUGUCACCAGAAUGUAGGAAUACUUCCUCGGAGUUACCUUUUUCAACACAGUUUUAUUACAAUCACCUCGAAUAGUAUGAAUAGUUUUAAUUCUCCACAGUUUACUUUAAAUGCCCACUUGUUACAAUAUUCUUCAAUUCCGAAUUAUGAGUACCGUGAUCACUAUAUUUGCUUUACGGUAAUGUGACCUGCGACUGGCUGACUUUCGCACGCGCGCGCCUGCUACGCGCGAACACUAACUAACUUAUUACGACUGACCUCUUCCAAUCUGACGCAAAAGACUUUUAUCAUUUCGUCUGUGUAGACUUCUCUCUGAGAGAGUCUCAGACCUAAACAAAACAUUCUUUCCACGCUCGCGAGGGUAAAGACCCCGGUGGAUGAAUCAGUAGUUCACUAUGACUCAUACUCGGAAGCCUUUACUUUCUACAAAAGCGUCACCGUCUGCUGCUGGCAGCAACAAACUGUGUUUAAUUAAACAAAGUGUUUAUUCUUUUCCGUAAACAUAUGGCUUGGAAAGCGCGAGUGCAUCAAAAUAUCAGCUUAGCUUAAGGCUGUAGCUGGUGAUGUAACCCAGGAAAUUAGCUUCCAUGGUGCACCACUUGGAGAAAUUUUCCAGGGUUGAUGCUGGCCGAAAACUAUGGGCGCUGCACAAAUAUUCUUUUAUUGUAAUUCUUUUACUUGAACAAAUUUAUAUAUUUUUUUCUUUACUAGCGCCACAGCCCUAACUUCCUGCGUUUUACGGGCGUAACAACGUCUUUAAUCUAACCACUACACUUAAUCUUCUAUAAACAAGAGCACGGUUUUGCUCCCUGGAACUGAAGGUCAGCUACUCGAACACUCACAGUAUUCAUUUGAAAGCUGUUUACAGUUAGCACUUUCGACUGGGAACUGUUUUCACGGAUUCUUAUCAAAUGCUUGCAAAACUUUCUCAACAAUUUCUAUUUCCUACUCGUAGAUAAAUCGUCCUAAACACUGUGUUUGUACCGUUUAAAACUUUUCGUUGAUGGUGUUUUGAACUGGAAACUUUUCAUCACUGAUUCUUGUAGAAAAAGCACUCUGGUGUUGACACCGAUAUUUCUCAAUGAUUUCUUUUUCCUAUUCGUAGGCGAACUGUCACUGCACCAACCUACUGCGAUUUGAUUCAAUUUCUAUAAAAUUUUCUGUAUCACUCUCGCAUCAAGCGAAUUUUUUGACACGUGAUAUUAUCACUGCGAAAUAUUAGUAGUCUCUAGUAUAGAUUCGCGGAGGCAAGCAGAUGUAGUAAAUAAGACACUAGAACGACUGGAUAGCAAUCAGCGCUAUCGGCUUCGACGUCGGGGCCGAGAAACUCUAAAGUUUGUCCUUAAUUAUGAGUUUGAAGUCAGAAUUGUUUAUUUUCUUUUGUUUUCUUUUUUGUUUUCACCAACUUUUUCACCUUCUUUUUUACAACAACCGACACUGAAGGUUUAGAGUUCUUCUCCAUGAAUGCCAAAACUAGUGGAAUAAAGAUAUAUACUAGCAGUCUUUAUAUUAUGGCAGGUUAGCUCAAAACUGUCGCCGCUUAAGCGUGUCUAUCUUAAGCUUCUGUCUCUUGAGUCAAUUUCUGUAUGUAUGAAUUUUUAUCCGUCCCAGUCCGCAAUGUUUCUAUGUAGCAUUUCACCAUUUUGAAGCGAGUCUUAAAAAUUCAUUACGGUUUAUUUUUCCCACGUCUAUUCUGUGGUAUCUUUGCAUUGGUAUUAGACAUGUAGUCUUAGAACCGUGAAAUUUAACGGGGUUGAAUUAGAAAAAAUACUUGGGAAAGUCCUUAUCCGGUUAGCACUUAUCUUUGUAACGGGUUGAAUUAUUCACUCUAUUUCAACGAAGCGACGUCUUCAAACUGUCAACAAACGGUUGCUUCGAGAUGCCAGUUUUGAGUAUGAGCCGAAAUGUCACUGUUAUUCAGUUCCACUCUCUUCUUGAAGUAAUUUGUUCAAAUGAUUUAGCUUAUCUCUUCAAAACUAGGUCGUUUUAGAAUAUUUGACAUAACUAAGCACAGCGCCUACUGCGGUCCACGCAGGAUUCUGAGUGUAGUAUAGCAAAACCUUAUCUUUUUUCGCCAUUAUUGUGGUCGUCGCAUCCUCUCGAUUUUUCGUUCUUCUAUCUCGUGGGGGUGUACCUUGUACUGUGAAAAUCUCGAACGUUGGUUUUUCAACUAACACAGGUGUCCUUUCCGAUACAUGUGCUACCAGCAUCCACCUUGUAACCUAUAUGGUAAACCAGUUUCUACAAUGAAAAAAGCAGUCAUGAUGAAAGUAUUCACAAUUCCCAAUAGGUUUUAGAAUCCGGAUCAGGGUAGUCGGUCUGUCAAAAAAGCUAAAAAUGUAUGUAGUUUGCAAGUAUGAGGGCGAGCCUACUCUGAUUCGGAUCCAAAAACGAAAUCAGUAUAAAUUAAAUGAAUCACGUAUCAAUCAAUGAUAUCUUUACAAAUACGAACGACUGUCUUGAAAAGAUCAGAAAUAAUGCUAGUAAUAAAUAUCUAUCACUGAUAUACUUUAUGACAAUAACUGACGAGAUCGUGUGAUGAUCAAGUCAAAUGAACUGAUAGCCGUUGCUAGAUUUUUUAAAUGCAUACAUGUAUAGUAAAAAAACGACAAUAAACUAAUCAAAUAAUGCAAUAGCUAAUUAGAAUUUAAAUCUUUCUUUUAGUAAAACAUAUUUUAAUAAAUAUGUGAGAAAAAAUUA